CCUACGGGCGGCAGCAGUGGGGAAUAUUGGACAAUGGGCGAAAGCCUGAUCCAGCCAUGCCGCGUGUGUGAAGAAGGCCUUCGGGUUGUAAAGCACUUUCAGUGGGGAAGAAAGCCUUGGGGCUAAUACCCUCGAGGAAGGACAUCACCCACAGAAGAAGCACCGGCUAACUCCGUGCCAGCAGCCGCGGUAAUACGGAGGGUGCGAGCGUUAAUCGGAAUUACUGGGCGUAAAGCGCGCGUAGGCGGUCUGAUAAGCCGGUUGUGAAAGCCCCGGGCUCAACCUGGGAACGGCAUCCGGAACUGUCAGGCUAGAGUGCAGGAGAGGAAGGUAGAAUUCCCGGGGUAGCGGUGAAAUGCGUAGAGAUCGGGAGGAAUACCAGUGGCGAAGGCGGCCUUCUGGACUGACACUGACGCUGAGGUGCGAAAGCGUGGGUAGCAAACAGGAUUAAUACCCUAGUAGUC
RNAcentral lists this ribosomal RNA (464 nucleotides) under Vreelandella stevensii. RNAcentral describes it as "partial 16S ribosomal RNA". It matches the Rfam family "Bacterial small subunit ribosomal RNA", at positions 338 to 795 of the family's 1533-position model. Lineage: Bacteria; Pseudomonadati; Pseudomonadota; Gammaproteobacteria; Oceanospirillales; Halomonadaceae. The record is from RNAcentral.